UACAGAGGUCUCAAGCGUUGUUCGGAUUCAUUGGGCGUAAAGGGUUCGUAGGUGGCGUGGUAAGUCGGGUGUGAAAUUUCGGAGCUUAACUCCGAAACUGCAUUCGAUACUGCUGUGCUUGAGGACUGGAGAGGAGACUGGAAUUUACGGUGUAGCAGUGAAAUGCGUAGAGAUCGUAAGGAAGACCAGUGGCGAAGGCGGGUCUCUGGACAGUUCCUGACACUGAGGCACGAAGGCCAGGGGAGCAAACGGG
Molecule: ribosomal RNA, 253 nt
Filed under: uncultured bacterium
Lineage: Bacteria
Description: partial 16S ribosomal RNA
Rfam family: Bacterial small subunit ribosomal RNA
Source: RNAcentral